This 465-nucleotide ribosomal RNA is filed under the name uncultured bacterium. RNAcentral's name for it is "partial 16S ribosomal RNA". It matches the Rfam family "Bacterial small subunit ribosomal RNA", at positions 28 to 507 of the family's 1533-position model. The record is from RNAcentral.
GAUGAACGCUGGCGGCGUGCUUAACACAUGCAAGUCGAACGGAAAGGCCCAAGCUUGCUUGGGUACUCGAGUGGCGAACGGGUGAGUAACACGUGGGUGAUCUGCCCUGCACUUCGGGAUAAGCCUGGGAAACUGGGUCUAAUACCGGAUAGGACCACAUUUUGGAUGGUGUGGUGGAAAGUUUUUCGGUGUGGGAUGAGCUCGCGGCCUAUCAGCUUGUUGGUGGGGUAAUGGCCUACCAAGGCGUCGACGGGUAGCCGGCCUGAGAGGGUGUACGGCCACAUUGGGACUGAGAUACGGCCCAGACUCCUACGGGAGGCAGCAGUGGGUAAUAUUGCACAAUGGGCGCAAGCCUGAUGCAGCGACGCCGCGUGGGGGAUGACGGCCUUCGGGUUGUAAACUCCUUUCGCUAGGGACGAAGCGCAAGUGACGGUACCUGGAGAAGAAGCACCGGCUAACUACGUG